RNAcentral lists this ribosomal RNA (375 nucleotides) under Triticum aestivum (bread wheat). RNAcentral describes it as "partial small subunit ribosomal RNA". The record is from RNAcentral. Lineage: Eukaryota; Viridiplantae; Streptophyta; Magnoliopsida; Poales; Poaceae.
AUGUCGUACCAUCAAACUAAAGGAGGAGCUCACCCUAGAAUAGGGAGAGGUGCUGAUCUUCGAGGCCACCAUCAGCUGUCAACCGCAGACGACCUCCUCACCGAACCGGGCAAAGCAUGUUGGUCGCAUAUCAUCUACUCACGACAAACCAAAAAGAAAGGGGACAAACUUUUGGCACUGGAACAAUGGAUUAGAAGGCACAAAAAAUUAAAAGGAAUGAUUAGCAUCACGAGUGAGGCUAACCGUCAUUGUGAAGGUACAUGUACACCACGUGUCGUCGCAACAAUACUAUUAGAGCCCCUCUCUCCAAAGAUCAAGGGUGGCGGCUCAUCGGCGGGCAUAAGGACACAUACAACUGAGCACCAGAACAGAUGA